RNAcentral lists this non-coding RNA (179 nucleotides) under Talaromyces marneffei ATCC 18224. RNAcentral's name for it is "Penicillium marneffei ATCC 18224 Eukaryotic small subunit ribosomal RNA". It matches the Rfam family "Eukaryotic small subunit ribosomal RNA", at positions 1 to 178 of the family's 1831-position model. Lineage: Eukaryota; Fungi; Ascomycota; Eurotiomycetes; Eurotiales; Trichocomaceae. The record is from Rfam by way of RNAcentral.
UAUCUGGUUGAUUCUGCCAGUAGUCAUAUGCUUGUCUCAAAGAUUAAGCCAUGCAUGUCUAAGUAUAAGCACUCUUUUACUGUGAAACUGCGAAUGGCUCAUUAAAUCAGUUAUCGUUUAUUUGAUAGUACCCUACUACAUGGAUACCUGUGGUAAUUCUAGAGCUAAUACAUGCGCAA